UGGUUCACAGGAAGCCAAAACAGACUCCCUCUUUCUGCUCUCUGCCACCCAGCCAGAAAACAGAGAGUACAGGAAACACCUGGAGGAGCAGGCAGCUGGUUGUUGUGGUUUGGGGUGAAAGAGACAACCAAGUAGACCAAAUGAAGCACUGUCAUCAGGAUCCACCCAGGGACAUGUUUGCUAGUGUCUAGUGGACUUAGACUGCCCUGGACCAAGUCGCAGACAGCACAUGGGAGUAUAAAAAGAAAUAAUUCCAUGGUUCCUGCUACAGAGGUUCACAUGGUAACAACUGGAAAGGGGGAGCCAGCUUGCAAAGCUAUGAGACAUCAACCAAAAUUAAUAAAUGAAA
This is a long non-coding RNA of Phyllostomus discolor (pale spear-nosed bat), 349 nucleotides long. RefSeq lists it as uncharacterized. The record is from RefSeq and is a predicted model, not a curated record. Lineage: Eukaryota; Metazoa; Chordata; Mammalia; Chiroptera; Phyllostomidae. The transcript has 3 exons.